Molecule: ribosomal RNA, 497 nt
Filed under: uncultured bacterium
Lineage: Bacteria
Description: partial 16S ribosomal RNA
Rfam family: Bacterial small subunit ribosomal RNA
Source: RNAcentral
GAUGAACGCUGGCGGCGUGCCUAAUACAUGCCAGUCGAGCGAACGGACGAGAAGCUUGCUUCUCUGAUGUUAGCGGCGGACGGGUGAGUAACACGUGGAUAACCUACCUAUAAGACUGGGAUAACUUCGGGAAACCGGAGCUCAUACCGGAUGAUAUUUUGAACCGCAUGGUUCAAAAGUGAAAGACGGUCUUGCUGUCACUUAUAGAUGGAUCCGCGCUGCAUUAGCUAGUUGGUAAGGUAACGGCUUACCAAGGCAACGAUGCAUAGCCGACCUGAGAGGGUGAUCGGCCACACUGGAACUGAGACACGGUCCAGACUCCUACGGGAGGCAGCAGUAGGGAAUCUUCCGCAAUGGGCGAAAGCCUGACGGAGCAACGCCGCGUGAGUGAUGAAGGUCUUCGGAUCGUAAAACUCUGUUAUUAGGGAAGAACAUAUGUGUAAGUAACUGUGCACAUCUUGACGGUACCUAAUCAGAAAGCCACGGCUAACUACGUG